This 497-nucleotide ribosomal RNA is filed under the name uncultured bacterium. RNAcentral describes it as "partial 16S ribosomal RNA". It matches the Rfam family "Bacterial small subunit ribosomal RNA", at positions 28 to 507 of the family's 1533-position model. The record is from RNAcentral.
GAUGAACGCUGGCGGCGUGCCUAAUACAUGCAAGUCGAGCGAACGGACGAGAAGCUUGCUUUUCUGAUGUUAGCGGCGGACGGGUGAGUAACACGUGGAUAACCUACCUAUAAGACUGGGAUAACUUCGGGAAACCGGAGCUAAUACCGGAUAAUAUUUUGAACCGCAUGGUUCAAAAGUGAAAGACGGUCUUGCUGUCACUUAUAGAUGGAUCCGCGCUGCAUUAGCUAGUUGGUAAGGUAACGGCUUACCAAGGCAACGAUGCAUAGCCGACCUGAGAGGGUGAACGGCCACACUGGAACUGAGACACGGUCCAAACUCCUACGGGAGGCAGCAGUAGGGAAUCUUCCGCAAUGGGCGAAAGCCUGACGGAGCAACGCCGCGUGAGUGAUGAAGGUCUUCGGAUCGUAAAACUCUGUUAUUAGGGAAGAACAUAUGUGUAAGUAACUGUGCACAUCUUGACGGUACCUAAUCAGAAAGCCACGGCUAACUACGUG